AUGCAUAGCUUUUCACCUUUGGCACAGAGGAGAAAGCUCUGGAAGAUGUUCCACAGCACUGCACCAGCACUGUGCAGGAAACAUCUAAGGAGCUCGCUGGCACACUCAGUGUCUUGUUGGGCAGCCUUUCCUACCGCUUCUUUACGACCACAGAAAGCUGCUGUCCUGUGGAAUGGCUGGCUGGUUCUUCAGGCCUCUGCUGAUGUGGUGCUGGAAAAGGGGUCCUUCUUCAUUAGCAGCCAUGGCAGGAAGAACUGGAUGCACACCAGGUGAUCUACUACAAGGAUGCUCUCAAGUACUUGCUCUCAAUACUAUGAUGAAGGUCCCAACAUCUUCUUUAGAAAUGCUACACUUGAUAACAGUGGCACCUAUGACUGCUCAGACAGUCUUCAUUGGUUGUACAUUUACUCUGAGAAACUAAGAAUUACUGUAAUAAAUGGUGAGUUGAUAAAGAAAUACA
RNAcentral lists this long non-coding RNA (460 nucleotides) under Mus spicilegus (steppe mouse). RNAcentral describes it as "lncRNA (ENSMSIG00000032019.1)". Lineage: Eukaryota; Metazoa; Chordata; Mammalia; Rodentia; Muridae. The record is from RNAcentral.